Molecule: non-coding RNA, 283 nt
Organism: Cricetulus griseus (Chinese hamster)
Lineage: Eukaryota; Metazoa; Chordata; Mammalia; Rodentia; Cricetidae
Source: RefSeq, a predicted model, not a curated record
CGGCCGUGCUAUUGGUGCGCCCGGCAGUGGGCACCCUCCUCCCUGUGUGACGUCGCAGCCCGCUGCACAUUUCCAAGCAACCGGAUAGGGACGAGAGCCGAUGUUGGGAUGUCCCGGGAAGUUGUACUACCUAGAGAUCCAAGUCCACUAUCCUGGAUUGACCAAGACAACAGAACCCAUCGCUAAGCAGUUCCCUGGGUUAUUUUCUUUGAGUUUGUAAGGUUCUUAGCUGAUGUUACAGCAUGAGUGCCCAACUGACUGAAUAAAGCUUUGCAACAAAGUC